GAUCCUGGCUCAGAAUCAACGCUGGCGGCGUGCCUAACACAUGCAAGUCGUACGCGAAAGGGGCUUCGGCCCUGAGUAGAGUGGCAAACGGGUGAGUAACACGUGGGUGACCUGCCUUCGAGUGGGGGAUAACGUCCCGAAAGGGACGCUAAUACCGCAUGACAUCCUGCCUUUGGACAGGCGGAGAUCAAAGCUGGGGAUCGCAAGACCUAGCGCUUGAAGAGGGGCCCGCGUCUGAUUAGCUAGUUGGUAGGGUAAUGGCCUACCAAGGCUACGAUCAGUAUCCGGCCUGAGAGGGCGGACGGACACACUGGGACUGAGACACGGCCCAGACUCCUACGGGAGGCAGCAGUGGGGAAUUGUUCGCAAUGGGCGCAAGCCUGACGACGCAACGCCGCGUGGAGGAUGAAGGUCUUCGGGUCGUAAACUCCUGUCGAGCGGGAAGAACACCUACCGGCCGAAUACGCUGGUAGGCUGACGGUACCGCUAAAGGAAGCCCCGGCUAACUCCGUGCCAGCAGCCGCGGUAAUACGGGGGGGGGCAAGCGUUGUUCGGAAUUACUGGGCGUAAAGGGCUCGUAGGCGGCCAACUAAGUCCGACGUGAAAUCCCCAGGCUCAACCUGGGAACUGCGUCGGAUACUGGAUGGCUUGAAUUCGGGAGAGGGAUGCAGAAUUCCAGGUGUAGCGGUG
Molecule: ribosomal RNA, 690 nt
Filed under: uncultured Acidobacteriota bacterium
Lineage: Bacteria; Pseudomonadati; Acidobacteriota
Description: bacterial SSU rRNA
Rfam family: Bacterial small subunit ribosomal RNA
Source: RNAcentral